UUAAAUUGAAGAGUUUGAUCAUGGCUCAGAUUGAACGCUGGCGGCAGGCCUAACACAUGCAAGUCGAACGGUAACAGGAAGCAGCUUGCUGUUUCGCUGACGAGUGGCGGACGGGUGAGUAAUGUCUGG
Molecule: ribosomal RNA, 129 nt
Filed under: Shigella flexneri
Lineage: Bacteria; Pseudomonadati; Pseudomonadota; Gammaproteobacteria; Enterobacterales; Enterobacteriaceae
Description: partial 16S ribosomal RNA
Rfam family: Bacterial small subunit ribosomal RNA
Source: RNAcentral